CCCUUAGAUGUUCUGGGCCGCACGCGCGCUACACUGACGAAUGCAACGAGCUUAUAACCUUGGCCGAAAGGUCUGGGUAAUCUCCAAAUUUCGUCGUGAUGGGGAUAGAUUAUUGCAAUUAUUAAUCUUCAACGAGGAAUGCCUAGUAAGCGCAAGUCAUCAGCUUGCGUUGAUUACGUCCCUGCCCUUUGUACACACCGCCCGUCGCUCCUACCGAUUGAAUGGUCCGGUGAAGCGCUCGGACCGCGGCCUCUUGACGGUUUUCCGUCGAUUGGCUGUGGGAAGUUCGUUAAACCUUAUCAUUUAGAGGAAGUAGAAGUCGUAACA
Molecule: ribosomal RNA, 327 nt
Filed under: uncultured eukaryote
Lineage: Eukaryota
Description: partial 18S ribosomal RNA
Rfam family: Eukaryotic small subunit ribosomal RNA
Source: RNAcentral